Long non-coding RNA from Archocentrus centrarchus (flier cichlid), 262 nucleotides. RefSeq lists it as uncharacterized. The transcript is spliced from 3 exons. NCBI's taxonomy places the organism in Eukaryota, Metazoa, Chordata, Actinopteri, Cichliformes, Cichlidae. The record is from RefSeq and is a predicted model, not a curated record.
GCUGUUUUGUGCUUUUAAGGCUUAUCUUCCCCAUGUAAAGACAUCUCCGGGCUCCCAGCAAACACAAUAUCCAACGGUGGCCAAGUUGAGCAGCCCGAGCUGGCGUGUUUUUGAGAGUCAUCUAGCUGCUGAGGGAUUACAAGCUGUUCAAAGACUCCGAAGGGCCACUGGUGAAAAUUAAAAAAUAGGCUUCAAACGGACGCAUGCACCAUGCCUUUGUCUGUCCUGUCGAAAAGGUGGCUGCGCUACCUGUCAGCAUGGU